AAGCAGGGGAUCGUAAGACCUUGCGCUUUUGGAGCGGCCGAUGCCUGAUUAGCUAGUUGGUGGGGUAAGGGCCUACCAAGGCGACGAUCAGUAGUUGGUCUGAGAGGACGACCAGCCACACUGGGACUGAGACACGGCCCAGACUCCUACGGGAGGCAGCAGUGGGGAAUUUUGGACAAUGGGCGAAAGCCUGAUCCAGCCAUGCCGCGUGAGUGAAGAAGGCCUUCGGGUUGUAAAGCUCUUUCAGUCGAGAAGAAAAAAUUGCGACUAAUAAUCGCAAUUCAUGACGGUAUCGACAGAAGAAGCACCGGCUAACUACGUGCCAGCAGCCGCGGUAAUACGUAGGGUGCAAGCGUUAAUCGGAAUUACUGGGCGUAAAGGGUGCGCAGGCGGCCUUGUAAGUCAGAUGUGAAAUCCCCGGGCUUAACCUGGGAACUGCGUUUGAAACUACAAAGCUAGAGU
This 462-nucleotide ribosomal RNA is filed under the name uncultured ammonia-oxidizing beta proteobacterium. RNAcentral's name for it is "bacterial SSU rRNA". It matches the Rfam family "Bacterial small subunit ribosomal RNA", at positions 202 to 647 of the family's 1533-position model. The record is from RNAcentral. Lineage: Bacteria; Pseudomonadati; Pseudomonadota; Betaproteobacteria.